UUGAACUGAAGAGUUUGAUCCUGGCUCAGAUUGAACGCUGGCGGCAUGCCUUACACAUGCAAGUCGAACGGCAGCACGGGCUUCGGCCUGGUGGCGAGUGGCGAACGGGUGAGUAAUACAUCGGAACAUGUCCUGUAGUGGGGGAUAGCCCGGCGAAAGCCGGAUUAAUACCGCAUACGAUCUACGGAUGAAAGCGGGGGACCUUCGGGCCUCGCGCUAUAGGGUUGGCCGAUGGCUGAUUAGCUAGUUGGUGGGGUAAAGGCCUACCAAGGCGACGAUCAGUAGCUGGUCUGAGAGGACGACCAGCCACACUGGGACUGAGACACGGCCCAGACUCCUACGGGAGGCAGCAGUGGGGAAUUUUGGACAAUGGGGGCAACCCUGAUCCAGCAAUGCCGCGUGUGUGAAGAAGGCCUUCGGGUUGUAAAGCACUUUUGUCCGGAAAGAAAUCCUUGGCUCUAAUACAGUCGGGGGAUGACGGUACCGGAAGAAUAAGCACCGGCUAACUACGUGCCAGCAGCCGCGGUAAUACGUAGGGUGCGAGCGUUAAUCGGAAUUACUGGGCGUAAAGCGUGCGCAGGCGGUUUGCUAAGACCGAUGUGAAAUCCCCGGGCUCAACCUGGGAACUGCAUUGGUGACUGGCAG
RNAcentral lists this ribosomal RNA (645 nucleotides) under Burkholderia ubonensis. RNAcentral describes it as "bacterial SSU rRNA". It matches the Rfam family "Bacterial small subunit ribosomal RNA", at positions 1 to 639 of the family's 1533-position model. The record is from RNAcentral. Lineage: Bacteria; Pseudomonadati; Pseudomonadota; Betaproteobacteria; Burkholderiales; Burkholderiaceae.